RNAcentral lists this ribosomal RNA (1096 nucleotides) under Mycobacterium sp. RNAcentral's name for it is "bacterial SSU rRNA". It matches the Rfam family "Bacterial small subunit ribosomal RNA", at positions 241 to 1353 of the family's 1533-position model. The record is from RNAcentral. Lineage: Bacteria; Bacillati; Actinomycetota; Actinomycetes; Mycobacteriales; Mycobacteriaceae.
UCAGCUGUUGGUGGGUGAUGCCUACCAAGGCGACGACGGGUAGCCGCCUGAGAGGGUGUCCGGCCACACUGGGACUGAGAUACGGCCCAGACUCCUACGGGAGGCAGCAGUGGGGAAUAUUGCACAAUGGGCGCAAGCCUGAUGCAGCGACGCCGCGUGAGGGAUGACGGCCUUCGGGUUGUAAACCUCUUUCAAUAGGGACGAAGCGCAAGUGACGGUACCUAUAGAAGAAGCACCGGCCAACUACGUGCCAGCAGCCGCGGUAAUACGUAGGGUGCGAGCGUUGUCCGGAAUUACUGGGCGUAAAGAGCUCGUAGGUGGUUUGUCGCGUUGUUCGUGAAAACUCACAGCUUAACUGUGGGCGUGCGGGCGAUACGGGCAGACUGGAGUACUGCAGGGGAGACUGGAAUUCCUGGUGUAGCGGUGGAAUGCGCAGAUAUCAGGAGGAACACCGGUGGCGAAGGCGGGUCUCUGGGCAGUAACUGACGCUGAGGAGCGAAAGCGUGGGGAGCGAACAGGAUUAGAUACCCUGGUAGUCCACGCCGUAAACGGUGGGUACUAGGUGUGGGUUUCCUUCCUUGGGAUCCGUGCCGUAGCUAACGCAUUAAGUACCCCGCCUGGGGAGUACGGCCGCAAGGCUAAAACUCAAAGAAAUUGACGGGGGCCCGCACAAGCGGCGGAGCAUGUGGAUUAAUUCGAUGCAACGCGAAGAACCUUACCUGGGUUUGACAUGCACAGGACGCCGGCAGAGAUGUCGGUUCCCUUGUGGCCUGUGUGCAGGUGGUGCAUGGCUGUCGUCAGCUCGUGUCGUGAGAUGUUGGGUUAAGUCCCGCAACGAGCGCAACCCUUGUCUCAUGUUGCCAGCACGUAAUGGUGGGGACUCGUGAGAGACUGCCGGGGUCAACUCGGAGGAAGGUGGGGAUGACGUCAAGUCAUCAUGCCCCUUAUGUCCAGGGCUUCACACAUGCUACAAUGGCCGGUACAAAGGGCUGCGAUGCCGUGAGGUGGAGCGAAUCCUUUCAAAGCCGGUCUCAGUUCGGAUCGGGGUCUGCAACUCGACCCCGUGAAGUCGGAGUCGCUAGUAUCGCAGAUCAGC